AUGUUACCAAUGCAAUAUUACAAAUCCACUUCACAUCUACUGAAUGUGAAUCUGCAUUUCAGCAAGUUAACAAGUAAUCUCGGAUCAAGUGGAGAUUUUGUGGUGACCCAGACUCCACUCCCCUUGCUUGUCACCCUAGGAGAGCCAGCCUCCAUCUCUUGCAGGUCUAUUCAGAACUUUCUAUAUAGCAAUGGAAACACAUAUUUGAAAUGGUUCCUGCAGAAGCGAGGGCAGUCUCCACAACUCCUGAUCUAUGAGGUUUCCAACUGAGAAUCUGGGAUCUCAGAAAGAUUCAGUGGCAG
Molecule: non-coding RNA, 302 nt
Organism: Dipodomys spectabilis (banner-tailed kangaroo rat)
Lineage: Eukaryota; Metazoa; Chordata; Mammalia; Rodentia; Heteromyidae
Source: the annotation of a RefSeq genome assembly